UACGGGGGUGGCGAGCGUUGUCCGGAAUUACUAGGCGUAAAGCGCAAGUAGGCGGUUUAUUAAGUCAGAUGUUAAAUACUUCGGCUCAACCGAAGGCCUGCAUUUGAAACUGAUAAACUAGAGUGAGUUAUAGGGAGACGGAAUUCCUGGUGUAGCGGUGGAAUGCGCAGAUAUCAGGAGGAACACCGAAGGCGAAGGCAGUCUUCUGGGGCUCAACUGACGCUCAAUUGCGAAGGUGUGGGAAU
This 245-nucleotide ribosomal RNA is filed under the name uncultured bacterium. Its description in RNAcentral is "partial 16S ribosomal RNA". It matches the Rfam family "Bacterial small subunit ribosomal RNA", at positions 524 to 768 of the family's 1533-position model. The record is from RNAcentral.